AUAACGACUCUCGGCAACGGAUAUCUCGGCUCUCGCAUCGAUGAAGAACGCAGCGAAAUGCGAUACCUGGUGUGAAUUGCAGAAUCCCGUGAAUCAUCGAGUCUUUGAACGCAAGUUGCGCCCGAGACCAUUAGGUUGAGGGCACGCCUGCCUGGGCGUCACG
Molecule: ribosomal RNA, 163 nt
Filed under: Atkinsonia ligustrina
Lineage: Eukaryota; Viridiplantae; Streptophyta; Magnoliopsida; Santalales; Loranthaceae
Description: 5.8S ribosomal RNA
Rfam family: 5.8S ribosomal RNA
About the family: 5.8S ribosomal RNA (5.8S rRNA) is a component of the large subunit of the eukaryotic ribosome. It is transcribed by RNA polymerase I as part of the 45S precursor that also contains 18S and 28S rRNA. Functionally, it is thought that 5.8S rRNA may be involved in ribosome translocation.
Source: RNAcentral